RNAcentral lists this microRNA precursor (131 nucleotides) under Vitis vinifera (wine grape). RNAcentral's name for it is "MIR845_2 microRNA precursor family". It matches the Rfam family "MIR845_2 microRNA precursor family". Lineage: Eukaryota; Viridiplantae; Streptophyta; Magnoliopsida; Vitales; Vitaceae. The record is from Rfam by way of RNAcentral.
AGAACACACAUUCAUUAUCCUUAGGACCAUAGGAUAAACAAAAACGUUGUAAAACCAAGUUAUCAUAUCCUAGAAUGAUUCUAACACGAUAACUAACCUAUGUCUUUGAUAUCAGCUGAUGGGAAAAACUC